GAACGGGGAGCUUCGGCUCCUAGUGGCGGACGGGUGAGCAACACGUGAGAAUCUGCCUGUAGGUAGGGGAUAACAGCGGGAAACUGCUGCUAAUACCGUAUAUGCCCUUCGGGGUGAAAGAUUUAUCGCCUGCAGAUGAGCUCGCGACGGAUUAGCUAGUUGGCGGGGUAAAAGCCCACCAAGGCGACGACCCGUAGCUAGUCUGAGAGGAUGGCUAGCCACACUGGGACUGAGACACGGCCCAGACUCCUACGGGAGGCAGCAGUGGGGAAUAUUCCGCAAUGGGGGCAACCCUGACGGAGCAAUACCGCGUGGGGGAGGAAGGCCCNUUGGGUUGUAAACCCCUUUUCUCAGGGAAGAAGAACUGACGGUACCUGAGGAAUCAGCCUCGGCUAACUCCGUG
RNAcentral lists this ribosomal RNA (403 nucleotides) under uncultured bacterium. RNAcentral describes it as "bacterial SSU rRNA". It matches the Rfam family "Bacterial small subunit ribosomal RNA", at positions 64 to 507 of the family's 1533-position model. The record is from RNAcentral.